RNAcentral lists this long non-coding RNA (894 nucleotides) under Taeniopygia guttata (zebra finch). RNAcentral describes it as "lncRNA (ENSTGUG00000022813.1)". The record is from RNAcentral. Lineage: Eukaryota; Metazoa; Chordata; Aves; Passeriformes; Estrildidae.
AUGCGCUCGCUGGGCCUUCCUCCCCCUCCUCCUCCUCCUCCUCCUCCUCGGGCCGCAGUGCUGUUCCCGGGCACUUCCUGCACAGCGCUGUCCGUGGGUGGGGAGGGCCGUGGAGCGAUGAGCGAUGCCAGCACUAAAAUAACCCUCUGGCCGCGCUCCCGCGUCCACGCGCGGCCCCUGAGGCAGAGGAAGAGGGGGAGGAAGGAAGUGAGGCCGCCUGACACAAAUAACUCCCGGCCCCUCAGCAGCUCCCCCGGACCGGCCUCCCCUGCUCCCGUCCCGGCCGGCCUGGAGGGGCUGGGCCGCCUUCGGGGCCGGUGUCCCCUGGGCUCGGUGUCCCUCAGGGCUCGGUGUCCCUCAGGGCUCGGUGUCCCUCAGGGGCUCGGUGUCCCUCAGGGGCUCGGUGUUGCCCUCAGGGGUUCGGUGUCCCUCAGGGGCUCGGUGUCCCGUCAGGGCUCGGUGUCCCCCCAGGGCUCGGUGUCCCUCAGAACUCGGUGUCGCCCUCAGGGGCUCGGUGUCCCCCCAGAUGGGACACCCCAGAGCUCGGUGUCCCUCAGAACUCGGUGUUGCUCUCAGGGGUUCGGUGUCCCGUCAGGGCUCGGUGUCCCCCCAGGCCUCGGUGUCCCUCAGGGGCUCGGUGUUCCGUCAGGGGCUCGGUGUCCCUCAGGGGCUUGGUGUCCCCCCAGGGUUCGGUGUCCCCCACGGUCUCCGUGUCCCCCCAGGGCUCGGUGCCGUCCCUGCGCUCGGAGCGCCCCCGGCCCCCAUCCCGCCCCACCACCCGGGGGCGCCCCGGCGCGCCGCCCCCACCGCUCCACGCACUACACCUCCCGCCGCACCCCGCGCGACAGGAAGCGAGGAAGCGGCGUCGCCGCGAGGCGCCUCUGGGAGUUGUAG